Molecule: ribosomal RNA, 468 nt
Filed under: uncultured bacterium
Lineage: Bacteria
Description: partial 16S ribosomal RNA
Rfam family: Bacterial small subunit ribosomal RNA
Source: RNAcentral
GACGAACGCUGGCGGCGUGCUUAACACAUGCAAGUCGAACGGAAAGGCCCUGCUUUUGUUGGGUGCUCGAGUGGCGAACGGGUGAGUAACACGUGAGUAACCUGCCCUUGACUUUGGGAUAACUUCAGGAAACUGGGGCUAAUACCGGAUAGGAGCUCCUGCUGCAUGGUGGGGGGUGGGAAAGUUCGGCGGUUGGGGCUGGAAUCGCGGGUUAUCCGCCUGGUGGGUGGGUUGGGGCUUACCAAGGCUUUGACGGGUAGCCGGCCUGAGAGGGUGACCGGCGACAUUGGGACUGAGAUACGGCCCAGACUCCUACGGGAGGCAGCAGUGGGGAAUAUUGCACAAUGGGCGGAAGCCUGAUGCAGCAACGCCGCGUGCGGGAUGACGGCCUUCGGGUUGUAAACCGCUUUCGCCUGUGACGAAGCGUGAGUGACGGUAAUGGGUAAAGAAGCACCGGCUAACUACGUG